Prionailurus viverrinus (fishing cat) is the source of this 268-nucleotide long non-coding RNA. RefSeq lists it as uncharacterized. The record is from RefSeq and is a predicted model, not a curated record. NCBI's taxonomy places the organism in Eukaryota, Metazoa, Chordata, Mammalia, Carnivora, Felidae. The transcript is spliced from 3 exons.
UGAAUAAACACCCUCACAGCAAUAACCUUCGAUGUGAUAGGAAAAUACAAAACAACUUUGGACCAGGACCUACACCAGGAGAACUGACCAGACAGAAAAUGAAGCUGUUCCUGGAGGGAAAGGAAGAGUCUUCUCUCCAUGAUACGUUUCUAGCUGGAUUGCACAGACCCACUCCAGAUGCUGGCCGUCAAUAGCUCCAGAGAACCUCUGUCAAUCACGUUGAAUCGAACAGUUCCUGAUAAACAGUACCUGUGUCAAAUUGCUUUUG